RNAcentral lists this ribosomal RNA (742 nucleotides) under uncultured bacterium. Its description in RNAcentral is "bacterial SSU rRNA". It matches the Rfam family "Bacterial small subunit ribosomal RNA", at positions 8 to 796 of the family's 1533-position model. The record is from RNAcentral.
AGAGUUUGAUCAUGGCUCAGAGCGAACGCUGGCGGCAGGCCUAACACAUGCAAGUCGAACGGAUCCUUCGGGAUUAGUGGCGGACGGGUGAGUAACACGUGGGAACGUGCCCUUUGGUUCGGAAUAACUCAGGGAAACCUGAGCUAAUACCGGAUGUGCCCUUCGGGGGAAAGAUUUAUCGCCAUUGGAGCGGCCCGCGUCUGAUUAGCUAGUUGGUGAGGUAAAGGCUCACCAAGGCGACGAUCAGUAGCUGGUCUGAGAGGAUGAUCAGCCACACUGGGACUGAGACACGGCCCAGACUCCUACGGGAGGCAGCAGUGGGGAAUCUUGCGCAAUGGGCGAAAGCCUGACGCAGCCAUGCCGCGUGAAUGAUGAAGGUCUUAGGAUUGUAAAAUUCUUUCACCGGGGACGAUAAUGACGGUACCCGGAGAAGAAGCCCCGGCUAACUUCGUGCCAGCAGCCGCGGUAAUACGAAGGGGGCUAGCGUUGCUCGGAAUUACUGGGCGUAAAGGGAGCGUAGGCGGACAGUUAAGUCAGAGGUGAAAGCCCAGGGCUCAACCUUGGAAUUGCCUUUGAUACUGACUGUCUUGAGUAUGGGAGAGGUGUGUGGAACUCCGAGUGUAGAGGUGAAAUUCGUAGAUAUUCGGAAGAACACCAGUGGCGAAGGCGACACACUGGCCCAUUACCGACGCUGAGGCUCGAAAGCGUGGGGAGCAAACAGGAUUAGAUACCCUUGUAGUCC